CUUGGUCAUUUAGAGGAAGUAAAAGUCGUAACAAGGUUUCCCGUACGGUGAACCUGCGGAAGGAUCAUUA
RNAcentral lists this ribosomal RNA (70 nucleotides) under Xerocomellus cisalpinus. RNAcentral describes it as "partial 18S ribosomal RNA". It matches the Rfam family "Eukaryotic small subunit ribosomal RNA", at positions 1764 to 1831 of the family's 1831-position model. Lineage: Eukaryota; Fungi; Basidiomycota; Agaricomycetes; Boletales; Boletaceae. The record is from RNAcentral.